RNAcentral lists this ribosomal RNA (429 nucleotides) under Chloroflexota bacterium. Its description in RNAcentral is "Chloroflexi bacterium partial 16S ribosomal RNA". It matches the Rfam family "Bacterial small subunit ribosomal RNA", at positions 355 to 776 of the family's 1533-position model. Lineage: Bacteria; Bacillati; Chloroflexota. The record is from RNAcentral.
UGGGGAAUAUUGCACAAUGGGCGCAAGCCUGAUGCAGCCAUGCCGCGUGUGUGAAGAAGGCCUUCGGGUUGUAAAGCACUUUCAGCGGGGAGGAAGGCGUUAAGGUUAAUAACCUUGGCGAUUGACGUUACCCGCAGAAGAAGCACCGGCUAACUCCGUGCCAGCAGCCGCGGGAAUACGGAGGGUGCAAGCGUUAAUCGGAAUUACUGGGCGUAAAGCGCACGCAGGCGGUCUCUCAAGUCGGAUGUGAAAUCCCCGGGCUCAACCUGGGAACUGCAUUCGAAACUGGCAGGCUAGAGUCUUGUAGAGGGGGGUAGAAUUCCAGGUGUAGCGGUGAAAUGCGUCGAGAUCUGGAGGAAUACCGGUGGCGAAGGCGGCCCCCUGGACAAAGACUGACGCUCAGGUGCGAAAGCGUGGGGAGCAAACAGG